GAUGAAGAACGUAGUGAAAUGCGAUACUUGGUGUGAAUUGCAGAAUCCCGUGAACCAUCGAGUUUUUGAACGCAAGUUGCGCCCGAAGCCAUCAGGUUGAGGGCACGUCUGCCUGGGCGUCACAUAUCGUUGCCCAAUGCCUAUUGCAGUGCAAUAGGAAUUUCUAGGGCGAAUGAUGGCUUCCCGUGAGCGUUGUUGCCUCGCGGUUGGUUGAAAAUCGAGUCCUUGGUAGGGUGUGCCAUGGUAGAUGGUGGUCGAGUUAGAACGAUACCGAUCAUGUGCAUGCUCCCCAAAAUAUGGCCUCUAUGACCCACACGCGUCUUUUGACGCUCAUGACGAGACCUCAGGUCAGGCGGGGCUACCCGCUGAAUUUAAGCAUAUCAAUAAGCGGAGGA
This 395-nucleotide unclassified non-coding RNA is filed under the name soil metagenome. RNAcentral's name for it is "partial contains 5.8S ribosomal RNA, internal transcribed spacer 2, and large subunit ribosomal RNA". The stretch from base 1 to 122 matches the Rfam family "5.8S ribosomal RNA", at positions 35 to 154 of the family's 154-position model. The record is from RNAcentral.